AACCAUAGAAACCUGCGGAGUACCUGCGGAAGGAUCAUUAACAAUUGUCCACGAUAAAUGGAUAAUUUUAUCCAUAUCCACCUUGUGUGAAUCAACUGAAGUGUUUGUUGGCAGGUUAACACUCUCGACUACGAGAGAUGUGAGCAUUGGCUCGGCCUGCCAAUUUUAUUUGUUUAAACAUGUCUAAAUAGAAUAGCCUGAAAUAUAAAACUUUAUAAUAAAUACAACUUUUAACAAUGG
RNAcentral lists this unclassified non-coding RNA (240 nucleotides) under soil metagenome. Its description in RNAcentral is "partial contains 5.8S ribosomal RNA, internal transcribed spacer 2, and large subunit ribosomal RNA". The record is from RNAcentral.